This 118-nucleotide small nucleolar RNA is filed under the name Pelecanus crispus (Dalmatian pelican). Its description in RNAcentral is "Small Cajal body specific RNA 16". It matches the Rfam family "Small Cajal body specific RNA 16", at positions 70 to 187 of the family's 187-position model. Rfam says of the family: scaRNAs are a specific class of small nuclear RNAs which localise to the Cajal bodies and guide the modification of RNA polymerase II transcribed spliceosomal RNAs U1, U2, U4, U5 and U12. ACA47 belongs to the H/ACA box class of guide RNAs as it has the predicted hairpin-hinge-hairpin-tail structure, the conserved H/ACA-box motifs and is found associated with GAR1. The record is from Rfam by way of RNAcentral. Lineage: Eukaryota; Metazoa; Chordata; Aves; Pelecaniformes; Pelecanidae.
UCACCCGCGCCCCAGAUCAACUCCCAGGCGGGCUCCGUGCUGGGGUUCAUCCUGUGCAGUAACAGGUGUGAGCAUCCAUGCAGCGUUUUGAUGGUCAUGUAUGAUACUGCAUACAACA